AGUAAUGCAUAGGUAACGUGCCACUUAGUCUGGGAUAGCCACUGGAAACGGUGAAUAAUACCGGAUACUCCUUCUCACUUAAUGUGAGUUGGGAAAGUUUUUCGCUAAGGGAUCGGCCUAUGUUGUAUCAGGUAGUUGGUGAGGUAAUGGCUCACCAAGCCUAUGACACAUAGCGGGUCAGAGAGGAUGAUCCGCCACACUGGUACUGAGACACGGACCAG
RNAcentral lists this ribosomal RNA (221 nucleotides) under uncultured bacterium. RNAcentral describes it as "partial 16S ribosomal RNA". It matches the Rfam family "Bacterial small subunit ribosomal RNA", at positions 109 to 334 of the family's 1533-position model. The record is from RNAcentral.